RNAcentral lists this long non-coding RNA (7244 nucleotides) under Gossypium raimondii (Peruvian cotton). RNAcentral's name for it is "long non-coding RNA (GRAI_LNC007600)". Lineage: Eukaryota; Viridiplantae; Streptophyta; Magnoliopsida; Malvales; Malvaceae. The record is from RNAcentral.
AAUGAGAAUGAGAUUGAUUAAAGAGUAAAUUAGAGACAUUGACAUUUGAGUAUAAUCAUUUGUGCUAAAUGUUGUUAUUUAUUUGCUAGUAAACUUACUAAGCUUAAUGCUUACUUCUUUUAUUUUUCUUUCUCUUAUAGUAUUGCAAAGCUGCUUCAGGGAUCCUAAAGACGUCAGAGAUCAUCCACACUAUCAACCACAACAACUCGGUAUCUUAUGAUAAAUUAUAUUCGAGUUAUGGCAUGUAUAGGGAUUUAGUUAUUUUGCAUGUUAGUAAUUAUGAUUUUUCUAAAUAAUGAUGUGUAAGUAUUUGGUGAUGAAUGGUUAUUAAAAUGGUUAAGUAUGAAGGUGUUUGUUGUUAUAAAAGUUUAGGUGAUAAAUUAUGCAUGGAAAUUAUGAAAGGGUAAAAUUUUGCAAAGAAACAGAAUUCAGGCAGCACAGUGACGUGACUUUGAAAAAUCACCUAGGAUAGUAUAUAAUGAGUUAGAAGGUGAAUGAUAUAUAGAUUGAAAGCCUAUUGAGUCUAUUUUCAUGUAAAAGUAACGGUUUAACAAAAGAGUUUUAUAUUUUGAGAUAUGUGAAUUUUUGUGAGACAGGGUCAGAUCUGUUUUUGGAGUCCCCUGUUUUGAGUUUAGAAAAUCAUUAAAAAUUGUAAAAAAAUGGUUAUGAGAUAUAGUUUAUAUGUCUAGAUUCCUUAUUGAGUAUUUUUUUUGUAGAAACAACUAAUAACUUCAUAUGAAAAUCCUACAGUGAGAAAACUUAUUUUUAGUGGCAAGAGGUCAGGACAGUUAAGUGGUGAAACAGGGGAGACUUUAACUAAUAAACUGUACUAAUUGGCUCAACCAAAAAUUCUAAAAAUUUUAUGGUAGGAAGAUAUAUGAGUCUAGUUUCAGGGAAAAUUUAUGGAAUUAAAUUUUGAGCCCUGUAGCUCGAGUUAUAAUUAAUUUAGUAACUGCUGCGCGAUUGGACAGAUUUGUCGUAAAUAGCGAAAUUAAUUUUCAAAACAAGUCUUUAUGCUCCGAAUUAGUAAGAUAAGUUAAGUAAUGCCUCGUGCUCGACUCCGAAAAUGGUCUCGGGUAAGGGUUGUUACAUUUUGUUGGUACCAUAGCAGGUUUAGUCGGUUCUCGAAAAUACGCAGUAUGAAUAAGAGUAUACCUAUACAUGCCAUACUUAUAUUUUUUGAUAGUGUGACGACUCCUGACGAUUUUAAAAUGUUUUCUUUUAUAGUUAUGGAUCCUGAAUGAGCUGGUACAGAUGAAGUAGAGAGUAAUGUGCCUGCUCCCGCAGAAGGGACGGCGCCACCAGAUGUUAAUGUUAGUGAAAGGCCUACAUCAGUUAGACAGGGAGGAGGAGCUAGAGAAGCCUUCUUCCAAGCCAUGAAUGAUUGGUUUGCCGAGUUCGUUCGUACGAAUCUGGCUNNNNNNNNNNNNNNNNNNNNNNNNNNNNNNNNNNNNNNNNNNNNNNNNNNNNNNNNNNNNNNNNNNNNNNNNNNNNNNNNNNNNNNNNNNNNNNNNNNNNCAUGAUUCACAGGCUCCCUAUGUAGCUUCCCCAGCUGCAGGUAUAGUUAUCAGGGAGAGACCACCUGUUGAUAAGAUUAGGAAGCAAGGGGCUGAAGAAUUUCGGGCUACCAAAGAUGAUGCAGAAAAAGCAGAAUUCUGGCUUGAGAAUACCAUCAGGGUUUUUGAAGAAUUAUCUUGUACACCGGAAGAAUGUAUGAAAUGUGUUGUUUCACUUCUUCGAGAUUCAGCCUACCAUUGGUGGAAGACCCUUGUUUCAGUAGUACCGAGUGAGAGGGUUACUUGGGAUUUCUUUCAAGAGGAGUUCCGGAAGAAGUAUAUCAGCCAGAGAUUUAUAGAUCAAAAAAGGAAAGAGUUUCUUGGGCUAAAACAAGGUAAGAUGUCCGUGAUUGAAUAUGAACGCGAAUUUGUCAGACUUAGUAAGUAUGCCCGGGAAUUUGUGUCCACUGAAGCUAACAUGUGCAAGAGAUUUGAAGAAGAGCUUAAGGAUGAUAUUCGAUUAGCAGUGGGUGUCUUGGAAAUUAAAGAGUUUGUUGUUUUGGUUGAGAGAGCUUGUAAAGCAGAAGAUUUGUUGAAAUAAAAAGAGAAAGGAAAACCUGAAGUUGAAGUACAAGAUACAAAGAAGAGGCAAAUGAGUAAAUCAUUUCAGUCUACGUCUAAGAGGCCUAAAGAGCUCUCUAGUGGAUCACAGUUUCCAGCUAGAUAUCCUAACCAAAGUUGGGGCAGAAGAUUCGAGGGUUCUAGAGCUCAAAUCACUAUAGUUGCAAGCACAGGCAGUAAUGUCCGCAAUGUGGGAGACGCCACCCCGGAGAGUGUAGACUAGGUGAAAAUGUUUAUUUUAGAUGUGGAGCGUCAGAUAACUUUAUUUGGGAUUGUCCUGAAACAACUAAAAGAGAAGAGAUAACGAGUGCGAGAUCAAGAAAUGCUCCUACCAGAGGUAGACCACAGAGAAACCCAGGAGUGGGAGCGAGUAACAGGGGUGCAUCCAGAGAUUCAGCAGUUAGAUCAGAUGUUAGAGCACCCGCAAGAACAUAUGCUAUUCGAGCUCGUGAGGAGGCGUCCUCUCCUGAUGUAAUUGCGGGUACAUUUUCUCUCUAUGACACUAAUGUUAUUGCAUUAAUUGAUCCUGGCUCUACACAUUCAUACAUAUACACAAAAUUAGUAUUUGUUAAAAAUUUAUCUGUUUAACCUACUGAAUUUGUGGUUAAAGUCUCGAACCCUCUGGGCCAGUUUGUGAUGGUGGAUAAAGUUUGUAAAACUUGUCCACUGAUGGUAAAAGGUAUUUGUUUCCCGGUUGACUUGAUGUUAUUGUCUUUUGAUGAGUUUGAUGUGAUAUUGGGCAUGGAUUGGUUAACUCAGCAUGAUGCAGUAGUAAACUGUAAACAGAAAUAUGUUGUGUUGAAGUGCCAAUAUAGAGAAUUACUUCGGCUUUAGAUCUGAUCAGACAGAGGAGUUAUCUGAUGUGAUUUUAGUGAUGUCAGCUCAAAGGUGUGUCAGAAAAGGGUACGAUGUUUAUUUGGCAUAUGUGUUGGAUACAAAGGUGUUGGAUAAUUGGGGUAGUUCCUGGAAUCAAAUCUAUAGAAAAUUCCACUUCUCUUUCUGGUGGCAACCUCGGUAACUCCUCUGGAAACACAUCAGAAAAUUCACAUACAACUAGCACUGCCUGUAUCUUUGACUCAGAUACCUUAGUAUCCAACACAUAUGCCAAAUAAACAUCGUACCCUUUUCUGACACACCUUUGAGCUGACAUCACUGAAAUCACAUCAGAUAACUCCUUUGUCUGAUCAGAUCUAAAGUCGAAGUAAUUCUCUAUAUUGGCACUUCAACACAACAUAUUUCUGUUUACAGUUUACUACUGCAUCAUGCUGAGUUAACCAAUCCAUGCCCAAUAUCACAUCAAACUCAUCAAAAGACAAUAACAUCAAGUCAACCGGGAAACAAAUACCUUUUACCAUCAGUGGACAAGUUUUACAAACUUUAUCCACCAUCACAAACUGGCCCAGAGGGUUCGAGACUUUAACCACAAAUUCAGUAGGUUAAACAGAUAAAUUUUUAACAAAUACUAAUUUUGUGUGUAUGUAUGAAUGUGUAGAGCCAGGAUCAAUUAAUGCAAUAACAUUAGUGUCAUAGAGAGAAAAUGUACCCGCAAUUACAUCAGGAGAGGACGCCUCCUCACGAGCUCGAAUAGCAUAUGUUCUUGCGGGUGCUCUAACAUCUGAUCUAACUGCUGAAUCUCUGGAUGCACCCCUGUUACUCGCUCCCACUCCUGGGUUUCUCUGUGGUCUACCUCUGGUAGGAGCAUUUCUUGAUCUCGCACUCGUUAUCUCUUCUCUUUUAGUUGUUUCAGGACAAUCCCAAAUAAAGUUAUCUGACGCUCCACAUCUAAAAUAAACAUUUUCACCUAGUCUACACUCUCCGGGGUGGCGUCUCCCACAUUGCGGACAUUACUGCCUGUGCUUGCAACUAUAGUGAUUUGAGCUCUAGAACCCUCGAAUCUUCUGCCCCAACUUUGGUUAGGAUAUCUAGCUGGAAACUGUGAUCCACUAGAGAGCUCUUUAGGCCUCUUAGACGUAGACUGAAAUGAUUUACUCAUUUGCCUCUUCUUUGUAUCUUGUACUUCAACUUCAGGUUUUCCUUUCUCUUUUUAUUUCAACAAAUCUUCUGCUUUACAAGCUCUCUCAACCAAAACAACAAACUCUUUAAUUUCCAAGACACCCACUGCUAAUCGAAUAUCAUCCUUAAGCUCUUCUUCAAAUCUCUUGCACAUGUUAGCUUCAGUGGACACAAAUUCCCGGGCAUACUUACUAAGUCUGACAAAUUCGCGUUCAUAUUCAAUCACGGACAUCUUACCUUGUUUUAGCCCAAGAAACUCUUUCCUUUUUUGAUCUAUAAAUCUCUGGCUGAUAUACUUCUUCCGGAACUCCUCUUGAAAGAAAUCCCAAGUAACCCUCUCACUCGGUACUACUGAAACAAGGGUCUUCCACCAAUGGUAGGCUGAAUCUCGAAGAAGUGAAACAACACAUUUCAUACAUUCUUCCGGUGUACAAGAUAAUUCUUCAAAAACCCUGAUGGUAUUCUCAAGCCAGAAUUCUGCUUUUUCUGCAUCAUCUUUGGUAGCCCGAAAUUCUUCAGCCCCUUGCUUCCUAAUCUUAUCAACAGGUGGUCUCUCCCUGAUAACUAUACCUGCAGCUGGGGAAGCUACAUAGGGAGCCUGUGAAUCAUGAGGGGGUGGAGAUCUCACAGCCAGAUUCGUACGAACGAACUCGGCAAACCAAUCAUUCAUGGCUUGGAAGAAGGCUUCUCUAGCUCCUCCUCCCUGUCUAACUGAUGUAGGCCUUUCACUAACAUUAACAUCUGGUGGCGCCGUCCCUUCUGCGGGAGCAGGCACAUUACUCUCUACUUCAUCUGUACCAGCUCAUUCAGGAUCCAUAACUAUAAAAGAAAACAUUUUAAAAUCGUCAGGAGUCGUCACACUAUCAAAAAAUAUAAGUAUGACAUGUAUAGGUAUACUCUUAUUCAUACUGCGUAUUUUCGAGAACCGACUAAACCUGCUAUGGUACCAACAAAAUGUAACAACCCUUACCCGAGACCAUUUUCGGAGUCGAGCACGAGGCAUUACUUAACUUAUCUUACUAAUUCGGAGCAUAAAGACUUGUUUUGAAAAUUAAUUUCGCUAUUUACGACAAAUCUGUCCAAUCGCGCAGCAGUUACUAAAUUAAUUAUAACUCGAGCUACAGGGCUCAAAAUUUAAUUCCAUAAAUUUUCCCUGAAACUAGACUCAUAUAUAUUCCUACCAUAAAAUUUUUAGGAUUUUUGGUUGAGCCAAUUAGUACAGUUUAUUAGUUAAAAUCUCCCAUGUUUCACCACUUAACUGUCCUGACCUCUUGCCACUAAAAAUAAGUUUUCUCACUGUAGGAUUUUCAUAUGAAGUUAUUAGUUGUUUCUACAAAAAAAUAUACUCAAUAAGGAAUCUAGACAUAUAAACUAUAUCUCAUAACCAUUUUUUUACAAUUUUUAAUGAUUUUCUAAACUCAAAACAGGGGACUCCAAAAACAGAUCUGACCCUGUCUCACAAAAAUUCACAUAUCUCAAAAUAUAAAUCUCUUUUGUUAAAUCGUUACUUUUACAUGAAAAUAGACUCAAUAAGCUUUCAAUCUAUAUAUCAUUCACCUUCUAACUCAUUAUAUACUAUCCUAGGUGAUUUUUCAAAGUCACGUCACUGUGCUGCCUGAAUUAUGUUUCUUUGCAAAAUUUUACCCUUUCAUAAUUUCCAUGCAUAAUUUAUCACCUAAACUUUUAUAACAACAAACACCUUCAUACUUAACCAUUUUAAUAACCAUUCAUCAUCAAAUACUUACACAUCAUUCUUUAGAAAAAUCAUAAUUACUAACAUGCAAAAUAACUAAAUCCCUAUACAUGCCAUAACUCGAAUAUAAUUUAUCAUAAGAUACCGAGUUGUUGUGGUUGAUAGUGUGGAUGAUCUCUGACGUCUUUAGGAUCCCUGAAGCAGCUUUGCAAUACUAUAAGAGAAAGAAAAAUAAAAGAAGUAAGCAUUAAGCUUAGUAAGUUUACUAGCAAAUAAAUAACAGCAUUUAGCACAAAUGAUUAUACUCAAAUGUCAAGGUCUCUAAUUUACUCUUUAAUCAAUCUCAUUCUCAUUCUCCUGCUUGUUUACUUAGUUAACUCGUGAUCAUAACUUACUCUUCCCUUGCUGAAACAUUGAGUAUCAAUUGAUAAUAUAAUAAGUUCUUAACUCUUAUAACUUACCUGAGCUUGCCAUUUAUGCUUUUAACUGAACUUUCAUGAACAUGAUUCGUUUAUUAGCCCGUUGAGCUACAUUAGAAUAAUAAGGAUACUCGGGUAUCUUAUGAUAAUAACAUGCCAAGGCCAUGUCCUAGACAUGGUCUUACAUGGGACCUCUCUACCCAAUGUCAUGACAUUCGUAUCCAGUACCAUCCUUAUGUAUCAACGGGACUUUUUAAUUUUAAUUCUCUAUCAUUUCAUGCUUGGAUCAUCAUCAAAUAAAUUCAUGAAAUAAAUUCAUAGUUGCUGGAAAAUAACAACAUUAAUAAUAAUUAUUGAAAUAUUGCAUUUAUUUACUGUAAACUUACCUCAGUACCAAAUAUAGCCUAAUUCACCAACUUAGUCUUCAACUUUAUUCUUCCCUUUGUCUAACCUCGAGUUUCGUUCUUCUUGAUCUAAAAUAGCAAAUUUAACUCAUUUAAUACUCACAUUUAUCAAAACAACCCUCGACUCUAGCUUUUCAAAAUUAUGAUUUUGCCCCUAAACUUUUACAUAAUUACAUUUUUGCCCCAAGGCUCGGAAAUUAAACUUCAUCUCAUAUUCUUAUGUUUUAUAACAUGCUGAACAUUUUUCUCUUCUAUGACAACAUCAAAUUAUCACUCUAACAUGUACUUGUGAACAUUAGGUAUUUUACCGAUUUUGGAGUUUUACUCGUUUUCGCUUAAAAUCGACUAGCAAAAAUUGUUUAACAUAAUUUAUAGCUUCAUAUUCUACCUUAAAACAUCAAAAUAAACACUUUUAACCUAUGAGUAUUUUUCCAAAUAUAAACCCUAGGUUAAAUUAUUGCUAGAAUAAGCUAAAUUAAGCUACCGGGAUCUCAAAAACGUAAAGAACAUUAAAAACGGGGCUUGGAAUAACUUACUAUGGAGAUUGGAACCUUGAAAACCCUAAAUAUGGCUUCCCCCUUGCUGAUUUCGUUCACCA